GGGGGGAUAGCGUAGUAGUAGAAGCGCCUAGAAGGCCCCGCUUUAUCGGCGAGGUCGUGGGUUCGAAUCCCGCUCCCCCUA
Transfer RNA from Ophiocordyceps sinensis CO18, 81 nucleotides. It matches the Rfam family "tRNA". From Rfam's summary of the family: Transfer RNA (tRNA) molecules are approximately 80 nucleotides in length. NCBI's taxonomy places the organism in Eukaryota, Fungi, Ascomycota, Sordariomycetes, Hypocreales, Ophiocordycipitaceae. The record is from Rfam.